Molecule: transfer RNA, 77 nt
Filed under: Acidobacteriota bacterium
Lineage: Bacteria; Pseudomonadati; Acidobacteriota
Description: Acidobacteria bacterium tRNA-Arg
Rfam family: tRNA
About the family: Transfer RNA (tRNA) molecules are approximately 80 nucleotides in length. Their secondary structure includes four short double-helical elements and three loops (D, anti-codon, and T loops). Further hydrogen bonds mediate the characteristic L-shaped molecular structure. tRNAs have two regions of fundamental functional importance: the anti-codon, which is responsible for specific mRNA codon recognition, and the 3' end, to which the tRNAs corresponding amino acid is attached (by aminoacyl-tRNA synthetases). tRNAs cope with the degeneracy of the genetic code in two manners: having more than one tRNA (with a specific anti-codon) for a particular amino acid; and 'wobble' base-pairing, i.e. permitting non-standard base-pairing at the 3rd anti-codon position.
Source: RNAcentral
GCACCCGUAGCUCAGUUGGAUAGAGCGUCUGACUACGAAUCAGAAGGUCGCAAGUUCGAGUCUUGCCGGGUGCAUCA